AUUCAGGUAAAGACUCGGAUAUGACAACAUCAACAACAGUGAAGUCCACCACAAGAAAAUCAACAACAGAACCAACAAUUAAACCAACAUUAAAAAUAACAAGCAUAUGGACAACAAAAGAAGAAGUAAAGACAUCAGAAGGGACACCGACAACAAAUAUACAACCCCAGGGUAGAGACUGAAUCUGUCUUCUAUUGAAAUUUUAAUGUCAGACUGAGUCUUGUCUGUGUGUGGACAGACCGUUCUCACUCCCGAGGCAUAAUAUACUCACGAUUUGUCAUGUCUUAACACUAACCAUAACCUUAUCCCUAACCUUAACCAGCACUUUAAUAACGUUAGAAGUGUUUUCCAAAGUGAUUUAUGUAAAAUGAACGUACAUGUGUAGAUUCAUUCCAAACGGUUCUCAUGUUUCUUUAUUUUUUCGAUCUCGUAAUAUAGGGACGUGUUGGGUGUCCGGAAGCGUGAUACACUGACGAUUUGUCACCUAGCAUAAAAUGUUAGGCUUUGGGAGUGAGAACAUGUUGGUGUGGAAGAAAUUCAUUGUUUAACAUGUUUUAAUAAUCUCUCCAGUUCAGUCAGGGUUUAUCGUCAUUCCUGUGUGUUUAGCAGCACUCUUAAUCAUUGUUGUGGUGAUCAUCAGAUGGAAGAAAGCUAAAGGUGAAAACAUUGACAGAUGAACAUUUAACAUCAUAAGCAGAAUGAAGGAAAUAAAAUGUUUAAUUCUUUGAUUUCUAAUGUGGAAGUUCAACUAUUUUUUUUCUCUUAUCAGUAAACAAAGCACAACAGAGCGACAACAUGCAACUGAGCUUAAACCCUGCAGACACUGAGUCUGGUCCAGGAACCAAUCAGGAGACGGCUGAUGCUGAUGAUGGUGUUUCCUAUGCCUCCAUCAGCUUCACUAAGAAGACCAAGGAUAAAGCCCGGGCUUGUGGUGAUGAUGAUGACACUGUGACUUAUAGCACUAUGAAAGCUUCCUCCUCACCUGCUGGACUUUCCACUGAUCCCAGCGACCUCUAUUCCACCAUCAACAAACCAAAGAAAUAGGAUGUUUCUCAUGAAAUGUUUCAUGUUGUUUUUCUGGAUGCUGCAUGAAUGCUUGGAUCAUAGAGUAACUUCCUUUUUGUUUUUUUUUUAUGGUGACAUAUAUGGUAUAAUACUUGGUGUAUUUGUGCUGGGGCAACAAUGGUUAUGCUACAGAAUUGCUCAUUUUAAGAUCUCCAUUGUUAAUGUAGUCUAGUGAUAGUUACCUUUAUAUCAAAUUACAUAUCCACAGAAUAUUGUUGUUACAGUUUUUAUUAAUUUGCUGCGUGCCAUUUUUAACAAUACAAAAAGGGCCAUAAAACUAGGCUUGAGAGGUGUAUCUCACUGUAUCCAUGACGAUAUUAAACUUCCUGUUUGUGACAUCCAAAAACAUGACAGCAAAAACACUUAAUAUUCAACUUAAUUUCACAACAAAAGAAAAAAGAAUAUGAGUGUUGAUAACAUGUCUGAUUGUGCACGCCUAGUUUUAAAGAUUAGUGUGAACCAAAAUCCUGAAGUCGUGCAUACUGUUUGUGGGCUUUGAUACUAACAGGCUGACUUUCUUAUUCUGCUGUGCAGACUUGCUUUCCAGUUUCUUGGUAAGUAGAGUUUGAACUUUUCUAGUUUGUGCUAAACUUUCUGUUAUGAAUAUAAUUCCAUGUCCAUUGCAAAUAUGAUCUGUGUUGUUGGAUUGCACAGGUUAAGUAGCUUGAAAUCCAUCUUUUAAGCUGCUUUCAGUGAUUAUUCUAAAAAUAAAUAAUUUGUUGUUAUAAUUUAGUCUCAGUUUUAGAGUUUCAUUUUCUCCAUCAGUGUUUCCUGUAUUUUCCUCUUGUAUCAGCUCCCUAUGUUAAGUUCAUUCAUGUGUUUACAUUUCCCCAUUUAGUUUUGAUUGUCUCCUGUUUUUUUUUAUAUUUUCUUCUCUGGUUAUCCAGCUGUAUCAAUGUUCCAUAAUUACCCUCAUCUACAUUUAAAGUGCUAUACAAAUACAGGCCAUUUACCAUUUUACAUUUAGCAUUGUCUUUCCUUCAGACUUUGUCUUAGUGCUUGUUAUUCUCCCUGUCAGUUCCCAGUUGAUUUUAGACUCCUUUUUUAUUCUCUCAUGGGACUUUUCAUCAGUUGAAGUAAAGAAUUGCUUUUCAUCAAGUCAACCUUUGUUUGUUUUCCUUAGAAGUAUGCAGAAAGAUGAAGCAGUGCAUUAUAUGUGUGUGGUCAACAUUAGAGGGUUAAAACUCGAGAGCUGCUGUAUUUUUACCGAAACACUUCCUCUUCACUUCUCAGAAAGAAUGACUUCAGAGGUGUAAUGAGAAACCAAAAGGUCUCAGACCACUAACACAUUUUAUCAGUGUUCUCACCUCACAGCUAACAGUGGUCACUGCUGCAGUGUCAUGUUUCAUUGGAAACAUCAAGACUCAAAUUCUGAUGUGUAAUAAGUUUAAAUCUUGACCUCUUUUCAUGUGUGCAGACAAACAUCACCAUGAACACUGUUAAUCCAAACACUUAACUCAUCUAACAGUCUUCACAUAUUUAACUUUCUCUAAUCUGUUGGUAAUCAAGACAACAUCAAGACAAUCAUGUCAAGAGAUGACAAAGGGAGCCUGCAAAAUGCAUUGGAUAUACAAGUUAAAAUGUUAGAAGUUUUUCACUCAGCUAAUAUCUACAAUAGACAAAAGGAGGCUCAGAUGCAUAAAAGCCAUGAAAUAAAAGCUUUGGAUAUAAAAUCAGAAGUAAAGACAUGAGAAAUGACACUGACAACAGCACCAAA
Long non-coding RNA from Oreochromis niloticus (Nile tilapia), 2782 nucleotides. The record is from Ensembl. Lineage: Eukaryota; Metazoa; Chordata; Actinopteri; Cichliformes; Cichlidae.